CCACUACGCCUGGAACGGUGAGUGGAUCAAAGAUCCGGCGGCAUAGGAUGGGCCUGCGGCGUAUCACCUUGUAGGGGGUGUAACGUACCCUCUAGCCAUCCACGCGUACGGGUGUUGGGAGACAUUGCCCGGAGAUGGAUUCUGAGACACGAAUCCUGACCCUACGGGGUGCAGCAGGCGCGAAAACUUGUCAAUGCGAGAAAUCGUGACCAGGGAACUCCAAGUGGCAGGGGUAAGACCCUGUCUUUUUCCGACUCUAAAUAGGUCGGCGAAUAAGGGGUGGGUAAGGACGGUGCCAGCCGCCGCGGUAAUACCGGCGCCUCUAGUGGUAGUCUCUUUUAUUGGGCCUAAAACGUCCGUAGACGGUCUGGUACAUUCGUGGGUAAAUCAACUCGCUUAAC
Molecule: ribosomal RNA, 401 nt
Filed under: uncultured archaeon
Lineage: Archaea
Description: bacterial SSU rRNA
Rfam family: Archaeal small subunit ribosomal RNA
Source: RNAcentral